Molecule: ribosomal RNA, 675 nt
Filed under: uncultured Lachnospiraceae bacterium
Lineage: Bacteria; Bacillati; Bacillota; Clostridia; Lachnospirales; Lachnospiraceae
Description: bacterial SSU rRNA
Rfam family: Bacterial small subunit ribosomal RNA
Source: RNAcentral
CGAACGAAGCACUUUAUUUGAUUUCCUUCGGGACUGAUUAUUUUGUGACUGAGUGGCGGACGGGUGAGUAACGCGUGGGUAACCUGCCUUGUACAGGGGGAUAACAGUUGGAAACGGCUGCUAAUACCGCAUAAGCGCACAGCAUCGCAUGAUGCAGUGUGAAAAACUCCGGUGGUAUAAGAUGGACCCGCGUUGGAUUAGCUAGUUGGUGAGGUAACGGCCCACCAAGGCGACGAUCCAUAGCCGACCUGAGAGGGUGACCGGCCACAUUGGGACUGAGACACGGCCCAAACUCCUACGGGAGGCAGCAGUGGGGAAUAUUGCACAAUGGGCGAAAGCCUGAUGCAGCGACGCCGCGUGAGCGAAGAAGUAUUUCGGUAUGUAAAGCUCUAUCAGCAGGGAAGAUAAUGACGGUACCUGACUAAGAAGCACCGGCUAAAUACGUGCCAGCAGUCGCGGUAAUACGUAUGGUGCAAGCGUUAUCCGGAUUUACUGGGUGUAAAGGGAGCGCAGGCGGUGCGGCAAGUCUGAUGUGAAAGCCCGGGGCUCAACCCCGGUACUGCAUUGGAAACUGUCGUACUAGAGUGUCGGAGGGGUAAGCGGAAUUCCUAGUGUAGCGGUGAAAUGCGUAGAUAUUAGGAGGAACACCAGUGGCGAAGGCGGCUUACUGGACGA